RNAcentral lists this unclassified non-coding RNA (323 nucleotides) under uncultured fungus. RNAcentral's name for it is "partial contains small subunit ribosomal RNA, internal transcribed spacer 1, and 5.8S ribosomal RNA". The stretch from base 1 to 73 matches the Rfam family "Eukaryotic small subunit ribosomal RNA", at positions 1759 to 1831 of the family's 1831-position model. Lineage: Eukaryota; Fungi. The record is from RNAcentral.
GCAAACUUGGUCAUUUAGAGGAAGUAAAAGUCGUAACAAGGUUUCCGUAGGUGAACCUGCGGAAGGAUCAUUCACAAUAAGAGUGUUUAUGGCACUCUUCCAAAAAUCCAUACCCACCUUGUGUGCAACGUAAGAAGAAAAAACGCGAGUCAUGGGGGGACAGAGUUGGCAACAACAAAAGAAGCCCAAGACUUGCCUUUUUCUUUUCCACAUACACCUUUCUAUAAGUUCCUAUUGUCUGAAGCUGUUAGAGAAUUGACUAAUUCUUAAACAUAACUUUCAACAACGGAUCUCUUGGCUCUCGCAUCGAUGAAGAACGCAGC